This is a non-coding RNA of Schistosoma rodhaini, 46 nucleotides long. NCBI's taxonomy places the organism in Eukaryota, Metazoa, Platyhelminthes, Trematoda, Strigeidida, Schistosomatidae. The record is from Rfam.
GCACUGCUGAAGAGUCCUACAAUGGAACGAAACGGCCGUCCAGUGC